CUUCGGCUAGCUAUCGGAUCGUUUUAGAAACAUCAGUGGCCAACGGUCGUCAGGAUCGUUGAGCUGCAUUGGCGGGAUUUCGCCGUCUUCGUUUCUCUUUCUUCGCGGACGAACACGCGCUGGGGCUGCAACCUUGCAGAAUCCCUGGUCCUUGACUGGAUAUGCGUUAGGGGCUUGUAGCUCAGUUGGUUAGAGCGCGCGCUUGAUAAGCGUGAGGUCGGAAGUUCAAGUCUUCCCAGGCCCACCACACUCAUCGAGUGAGCAUUCGUCUUCUGGUUACGGGGCCAUAGCUCAGCUGGGAGAGCGCGUGCUUUGCAAGCAUGAGGUCGUCGGUUCGAUCCCGUCUGGCUCCACCAGAUGGUUUGAUCAUCGACUGAUCGUGCACCUGAAAUCGUCCGCGAAACAUCACUUCGCACCCACUAGUCCGGAUGGACGGUGACGUGCGUGAUUUCUGACAUCGUAAAGAGGAGAUCGAUCCGAGUUGGAUCGUGCAGCAAGCAAUUGCUACGCGAUACUUCAUUAUCUCCGGAUCAUUUCGGCGCUCGUGCGUCUUCCAAGGUAGCUCACAAGGCUGCAUUGAAAGACAGGCGAGUUGUAAAUGAUCCUUUUAGCGAAGCUUGACCGCCUCGCUAUCGGAACGAUCUUACGAAGCAAGCUGGUCUUUCUAAUCAUUGUCCGGCUGCAGAUAGCGUUCGUCGAGGGCGCGUGCCGCAAGGCAGUUCUGCAGACAACAUUCUGCCGAGUGUGUGGACAUUGAUAAUGAGAGCAAUCAAGUGCCUAA
RNAcentral lists this transfer RNA (781 nucleotides) under Bradyrhizobium canariense. Its description in RNAcentral is "partial 16S-23S ribosomal RNA intergenic spacer". The stretch from base 171 to 244 matches the Rfam family "tRNA". Lineage: Bacteria; Pseudomonadati; Pseudomonadota; Alphaproteobacteria; Hyphomicrobiales; Nitrobacteraceae. The record is from RNAcentral.